RNAcentral lists this ribosomal RNA (466 nucleotides) under uncultured bacterium. Its description in RNAcentral is "partial 16S ribosomal RNA". It matches the Rfam family "Bacterial small subunit ribosomal RNA", at positions 28 to 507 of the family's 1533-position model. The record is from RNAcentral.
GAUGAACGCUGGCGGCGUGCUUAACACAUGCAAGUCGAACGAUGAAGCCCAGCUUGCUGGGUGGAUUAGUGGCGAACGGGUGAGUAACACGUGAGUAACCUGCCCUUAACUCUGGGAUAUGCCUGGGAAACUGGGUCUAAUACCGGAUAGGAGCGUCCACCGCAUGGUGGGUGUUGGAAAGAUUUAUCGGUUUUGGAUGGACUCGCGGCCUAUCAGCUUGUUGGUGAGGUAAUGUAUAACCAAGGCGACGACGGGUAGCCUGCCUGAGAGGGUGACCGGCCACACUGGGACUGAGACACGGCCCAGACUCCUACGGGAGGCAGCAGUGGGGAAUAUUGCACAAUGGGCGAAAGCCUGAUGCAGCGACGCCGCGUGAGGGAUGACGGCCUUCGGGUUGUAAACCUCUUUCAGUAGGGAAGAAGCGAAAGUGACGGUACCUGCAGAAGAAGCACCGGCUAACUACGUG